UACGUAGGGGGCGAGCGUUGUCCGGAUUUAUUGGGCGUAAAGAGCUCGUAGGCGGUUCGAUAAGUCGGAUGUGAAAUCUCCACGCUCAACGUGGAGGGGCCAUUCGAUACUGUCGUGACUCGAGUCCGGUAGGGGAGUGUGGAAUUCCCGGUGUAGCGGUGAAAUGCGCAGAGAUCGGGAGGAACACCCGUAGCGAAGGCGGCACUCUGGCCGGUACUGGACGCUGAGGCGCGAAAGCAUGGGGAGCGAACGGGG
This 255-nucleotide ribosomal RNA is filed under the name uncultured bacterium. RNAcentral's name for it is "partial 16S ribosomal RNA". It matches the Rfam family "Bacterial small subunit ribosomal RNA", at positions 524 to 777 of the family's 1533-position model. The record is from RNAcentral.